GAGACUGGUUUGUCUGAUGCUGCUGCCGGAGCUGAGGUCUUGCCUGGAGAUCCGAACGAGACACCACGUCAACCGGCGCGGGGAGUCCCGUGAAGACAUGAGGGCGCCAGGAGCGCAGAUGAGGACAUUGAGGAUCAGAGAUGUUGAAAAACUUGCCCAAGGAUGCACAAGUGGAAUGGUGACUGUUGUCUCUUGGGCACAGGUAGCUGCCAACAGGUGAGCCUCUCAGCGGAUCCCUGAUAGAGGUAGGAUGGCAAAUAGCUUCUUUAAUAUGACAGCCUCAGUGUAGUGGCUGGCAAGGAGCUGCGAUUGGGAGGAACUGGAAGUGACACCCAAGCUCAUUGAGCAAGCAUGCUGUGAGUGCCAUGAGUAAGUAGUCCCAGCUGAUGAGCUUAUCAGGGGGUUGCCAGCGGGGGUACUGCCCAGGGUGGAGAUGGAAUGGGAGACAUAGCCAUACCUCAGAAGGAUAUGCAGCUCCUACGAGGACCUAAGUGGAGCUGGGUCAGCAUGGCCCCAGUAAGCACACAGCAGGCAGAUCAGCCACAGACUUCAGCAUCAAGGCCUUCCAGGGUGGGAACUAGAUGAACUGGAGGACAGGCCAGGAACCUGCACAUAUGAAUCAUGUGGGCCAAGGACCUUCCUCCCCUUUCCUACCACCAUGAAGCAGACCCUUCCCCCAGGAGUCAUCUUGGAGAAAAAUGGGAAAGUGGAGCAGUGGUAGGGGGCAGGGGGUGCUGCAAUACCAAAAUAUCCAGAAGGCAUUUAAAAUUAUUGGACUAGAUGACAUUUAAUUCUCCUUCUUUACUCAGUAAAGUGAAGAGCUCAGGAGAAAGAUUGGAUCAAUUAUAGAAAAUAAUGAAGGUACAUUUUCUUUGCAUAACUAAAUGUAGGGUAAGUACAUUUUGAAUUUGCUAAAAUUGUCUUUGCUCUGCCUCUGCACACGUGUGCACACGUGCACACACACAAAUGGCACUUCUGGGAGUUUUUCCUUGCUACCACCUCCUCUCAAUAAUCAAUGCUCACGAAAGCAUUUGUGAGAAAUGUGGAGUUUACUGUGGAGAUUCAAAGGGAAGAUGAUGGAGGUUUCACUGUAACCCCCACAACAGAUUCAUAUUCCACUUUG
RNAcentral lists this long non-coding RNA (1123 nucleotides) under Homo sapiens (human). Its description in RNAcentral is "non-protein coding lnc-WDR70-7:9". Lineage: Eukaryota; Metazoa; Chordata; Mammalia; Primates; Hominidae. The record is from RNAcentral.